This 66-nucleotide transfer RNA is filed under the name Parablepharis kuhlii asiatica. RNAcentral describes it as "tRNA-Arg". Lineage: Eukaryota; Metazoa; Arthropoda; Insecta; Mantodea; Hymenopodidae. The record is from RNAcentral.
AAGUAAGAAGCAAAUUCAUUGUAAUCAGUUUCGGCCUGAUAGUAAGAUAUUAUAUAUCCUUACUCU